AUAACAUCCGGAAACGGGUGCUAAUACCGCAUAGUUUUCUUGAUCGGCAUGAUUGGGAAAGGAAAGACGGCCUUUGUGCUGUCGCUUAUGGAUGGACCCGCGGCGUAUUAGUUAGUUGGUGAGGUAACGGCUCACCAAGACGAUGAUACGUAGCCGACCUGAGAGGGUGAUCGGCCACAUUGGGACUGAGACACGGCCCAAACUCCUACGGGAGGCAGCAGUAGGGAAUCUUCCGCAAUGGACGAAAGUCUGACGGAGCAACGCCGCGUGAGUGAAAAGGAAGGUUUUCGGGAUCGUAAAACUCUGUUGUCAGAGAAGAACAAGUUGGAGAGUAACUGCUCCAGCCUUGACGGUAUCUGACCAGAAAGCCACGGCUAACUACGUGCCAGCCGCGGC
Molecule: ribosomal RNA, 396 nt
Filed under: uncultured bacterium
Lineage: Bacteria
Description: bacterial SSU rRNA
Rfam family: Bacterial small subunit ribosomal RNA
Source: RNAcentral